AAAGCGUGGGGAGCGAACAGGAUUAGAUACCCUGGUAGUCCACGCCGUAAACGGUGGGCACUAGUUGUGGGGACCUUCCACGGUCUCUGCGACGCAGCUAACGCAUUAAGUGCCCCGCCUGGGGAGUACGAUCGCAAGAUUAAAACUCAAAGGAAUUGACGGGGCCCCGCACAAGCAGCGGAGCAUGCGGCUUAAUUCGACGCAACGCGAAGAACCUUACCAAGGCUUGACAUAUACAGGAAUAUGGCAGAGAUGUCAUAGCCGCAAGGUCUGUAUACAGGUGGUGCAUGGUUGUCGUCAGCUCGUGUCGUGAGAUGUUGGGUUAAGUCCCGCAACGAGCGCAACCCUCAUUCUGUGUUGCCAGCAUUAAGUUGGGGACUCACAGGAGACUGCCGGGGUUAACUCGGAGGAAGGUGGGGAUGACGUCAAAUCAUCAUGCCCCUUAUGUCUUGGGCUGCACGCAUGCUACAAUGGCUGGUACAAACGGCUGCGAUACCGCAAGGUGGAGCGAAUCCGAUAAAGCCAGUCUCAGUUCGGAUUGGGGUCUGCAACUCGACCCCAUGAAGUCGGAGUUGCUAGUAAUCGUAGAUCAGCAACGCUACGGUGAAUACGUUCCCGGGGCUUGUACACACCGCCCGUCUCGUCACGAAAGUCGGUAACACCCGAA
Molecule: ribosomal RNA, 667 nt
Filed under: uncultured Actinomycetes bacterium
Lineage: Bacteria; Bacillati; Actinomycetota; Actinomycetes
Description: bacterial SSU rRNA
Rfam family: Bacterial small subunit ribosomal RNA
Source: RNAcentral